Molecule: long non-coding RNA, 437 nt
Organism: Hordeum vulgare subsp. vulgare (domesticated barley)
Lineage: Eukaryota; Viridiplantae; Streptophyta; Magnoliopsida; Poales; Poaceae
Exons: 2
Source: RefSeq, a predicted model, not a curated record
CAUCCGAGCAGACCCGUCCCUCCACGCCUCCAACGCUCGCCCCCAAUCCAUCCGUGGUUAGGGUUUGGGGCACGGCCUCGUCUCCGCCACUGGGGCAUUAGUUUGGUCCAUUCCGUGACCAGAGAAAAUGAGUAGAAGGGGAUGAGGAAGGAGGAGAAGGUGUAGACGGACGAGAAAGACAAGAAACAGGCAAGGGAGGUGGGGCGAUCUUCAUGCCUAUGGAGAUCUAAAUGUUUCUUGUUUAAUCUUUUUUUUAUGUUGCAUGCUCUCUGAUUUUAGAGUAGAUUGCUUUACAGCAUGUUGAAUAGAUUUGGGCCUGUUCAUUUUUCUAUGGUGACUAGGAUUUGACCAGAGAAAAGAGGAACGCUUUCUUAAAAAGAAAAUCUAUGGUGCAACCAUCGUCCAUGUCCAUCAAAUCAGCAGCAGCUUGGGUCUGU